CCUACGGGCGGCAGCAGUGAGGAAUAUUGGUCAAUGGGCGCAAGCCUGAACCAGCCAAGUCGCGUGAGGGAAGACGGCCCUACGGGCUGUAAACCUCUUUUGCCGGGGAGCAAGUCUGAGCACGUGUGCCCAGGCGGAGAGUACCCGGAGAAAAAGCAUCGGCUAACUCCCUGCAGGCAGCCGCGGUAAUACGAGGGAGGCAGGCGUUAUCCGGAUUUAUUGGGUUAACGGGGUGCGCAGGCGGGCUGUUAAGCCGGCGGUAAAAAUUCAGGACUCAACCCUGUCGAGCCGUCGGAACUGGCAGGCUUGAGUGCACGAGAGGUAGGCGGAAUGCGUGGUGUAGCGGUGAAAUGCGUAGAGAUCAGGCAGAACGCCGAUUGCGAAGGCAGCAUACCGGCGCCCAACUGACGCUGAGGCACGAAAGCGUGGGGAUCGAACAGGAUUAGAUACCCCUGUAGUC
Molecule: ribosomal RNA, 460 nt
Filed under: uncultured bacterium
Lineage: Bacteria
Description: partial 16S ribosomal RNA
Rfam family: Bacterial small subunit ribosomal RNA
Source: RNAcentral